UAGGUGAACCUGCGGAAGGAUCAUUGUCAA
RNAcentral lists this ribosomal RNA (30 nucleotides) under Erica caffrorum. RNAcentral's name for it is "partial 18S ribosomal RNA". RNAcentral also lists the same sequence under 1 other name. Lineage: Eukaryota; Viridiplantae; Streptophyta; Magnoliopsida; Ericales; Ericaceae. The record is from RNAcentral.